This 679-nucleotide long non-coding RNA is filed under the name Nicotiana benthamiana. RNAcentral describes it as "long non-coding RNA (NBEN_LNC030366)". The record is from RNAcentral. Lineage: Eukaryota; Viridiplantae; Streptophyta; Magnoliopsida; Solanales; Solanaceae.
UUUGUAUCUGAUACAAGUGACAUUAAAAGUUGAAGUCCUUAUAUGCAUGAUUUCUAUUAUGAAAUUAAAAGUGGAACCCUGCAGCCAUGAUUCUACUAUGCAAAAGCAAUCAGAUUCAACAUGAAUAAAAACCCUAUAGACAUGUUUUCUAUUAUGCAAAAAGCAAUUAGAUUCAACAGGAAUAAAAAUCCUACAAGCAUGUUUUCUCUCGAGUGACGCAGGCAGGUUUGAAAAUAAACCCUAAAGGUAGGAUUUCUACCCAAGUUACCCCGCAAAGUAUACAUCUACCGACCCUUUCACUAAAUACCUCAAGUAUCUAUUUAAAAAUUAUUACAGGCAAAACAAAUUACGUGAGUGAAAUAGAAAAUUAAUAAGCUAUUCUAUUGAGAGCCUGCAAUCAGGCCACAGUUACCAAAGCCUCCAAUGGUCUUUCAAGCCUCAUUUCCAUGGACGAGUCAGAGUCUAGGUGCAUCAAAGUUCCCUAAGGACCUCAAGGACCCCGGGAAAUGCUUACACCUAGACUUAGUAGCUGAGCAUUGAACCAGUGGAGUGUAGAAAGCCAGCCUCAGUAUACCAGAGUUCCAAGGGUUCUCAAGGGGAUCCCAAGGCAGUACACACACUAGAGGGGGGCAGAACUUAUAACUAGGAGUAGAGUGAAAGUGCAUGACACAUGUUUGAA